ACAUCACGUUCAAACACCGAUUUCGUACGAUCACCGAAAUUAAGCAACGUCGAGCAUGGGCAGUACCAAGAUGGGUGACAGCUUGGGAAUACCAGGUGUUGUAAG
This is a non-coding RNA of Acanthosepion pharaonis, 105 nucleotides long. Lineage: Eukaryota; Metazoa; Mollusca; Cephalopoda; Sepiida; Sepiidae. The record is from the annotation of a GenBank genome assembly.